Molecule: ribosomal RNA, 1014 nt
Filed under: Escherichia coli
Lineage: Bacteria; Pseudomonadati; Pseudomonadota; Gammaproteobacteria; Enterobacterales; Enterobacteriaceae
Description: partial 23S ribosomal RNA
Rfam family: Bacterial large subunit ribosomal RNA
Source: RNAcentral
GCCCCGGUAAACGGCGGCCGUAACUAUAACGGUCCUAAGGUAGCGAAAUUCCUUGUCGGGUAAGUUCCGACCUGCACGAAUGGCGUAAUGAUGGCCAGGCUGUCUCCACCCGAGACUCAGUGAAAUUGAACUCGCUGUGAAGAUGCAGUGUACCCGCGGCAAGACGGAAAGACCCCGUGAACCUUUACUAUAGCUUGACACUGAACAUUGAGCCUUGAUGUGUAGGAUAGGUGGGAGGCUUUGAAGUGUGGACGCCAGUCUGCAUGGAGCCGACCUUGAAAUACCACCCUUUAAUGUUUGAUGUUCUAACGUGGACCCGUAAUCCGGGUUGCGGACAGUGUCUGGUGGGUAGUUUGACUGGGGCGGUCUCCUCCUAAAGAGUAACGGAGGAGCACGAAGGUUGGCUAAUCCUGGUCGGACAUCAGGAGGUUAGUGCAAUGGCAUAAGCCAGCUUGACUGCGAGCGUGACGGCGCGAGCAGGUGCGAAAGCAGGUCAUAGUGAUCCGGUGGUUCUGAAUGGAAGGGCCAUCGCUCAACGGAUAAAAGGUACUCCGGGGAUAACAGGCUGAUACCGCCCAAGAGUUCAUAUCGACGGCGGUGUUUGGCACCUCGAUGUCGGCUCAUCACAUCCUGGGGCUGAAGUAGGUCCCAAGGGUAUGGCUGUUCGCCAUUUAAAGUGGUACGCGAGCUGGGUUUAGAACGUCGUGAGACAGUUCGGUCCCUAUCUGCCGUGGGCGCUGGAGAACUGAGGGGGGCUGCUCCUAGUACGAGAGGACCGGAGUGGACGCAUCACUGGUGUUCGGGUUGUCAUGCCAAUGGCACUGCCCGGUAGCUAAAUGCGGAAGAGAUAAGUGCUGAAAGCAUCUAAGCACGAAACUUGCCCCGAGAUGAGUUCUCCCUGACUCCUUGAGAGUCCUGAAGGAACGUUGAAGACGACGACGUUGAUAGGCCGGGUGUGUAAGCGCAGCGAUGCGUUGAGCUAACCGGUACUAAUGAACCGUGAGGCUUAACCUU